This 965-nucleotide ribosomal RNA is filed under the name Anisakis simplex (herring worm). Its description in RNAcentral is "16S ribosomal RNA". The record is from RNAcentral. Lineage: Eukaryota; Metazoa; Nematoda; Chromadorea; Rhabditida; Anisakidae.
UAUCUGUUUUGUUUUAUAUUUUUUGGUAUUGCAUACCAUACUAAGAUUUUCACAUUUUUAUGUUUAAUAGAACUGAGAGGUAGAAGAUUAGUUUGUUUUUAUUGUUACAAAAUAAAAAUUACUAAUUUUGGUGUUGAUAUGUCGUCUCUUAAUUUAUCUGUUUUUGGAUCUUUUUAUUAGAAAAUUGUAAUUUUUUUUUUUGUUUUGAGAUAAUAAAUUUUGUAGUGUUUAAAUUUUUUGUUUUAUAACAUAUCUUGUUUUAAUUUAUUUUUUUUUUUUGUUUUUUAUAUUAAAAUAUUAAUAUAUUUAUAAUUUAGUAUUGAGUAUAUUUUUUAAAUUAAGUUUUUUUAAGAAAUUUACUGUGUGAACUUGGGUUUUAAUCAAAUGUUUUUUAAAAACUUAUGUUUCUUUAUGAAAUUGGCCUCUGCUCUAUGUUUUUAUAAAUGGCAGUCUUAGCGUGAGGACAUUAAGGUAGCAAAAUAAUUUGUGCUUUUAAUGGGUUCGAGUAUGAAUGGGGUUAUUGGUUAACUUUUUACUUUGUUUUUAAUGAAAUAAAUUUUUAUUUAAGAAGUUAAUAUGUGCAAUUAAACAAAGAUAAGUCUUCGGAAAUUUUUUUAUUGUCUUUUCUUGUGUUAAGAUAAUAUGUUUUCUAGGGUAGGAUAUUGUGUAAUUUUUUUUACUAUUGAUAUUUAAAAAAAUUACUUCGGAGUUAACAGAAAAUCAUGUCGUAACCAGAUCUUAUGGUAGUGAUAAGUUUUACAUCGAUGUUGUAUUCCAGUUGUGCAGGAAAGGAGAAGGCUUGUUUUUUAAGACUGUUCUUCUGUUAAUUAAACUGGACGUGAUAUUAGUUUAAUUCAUCGUGAGAUAGAAUUGUUUAUCUUGUUAAUUGCUUUUUUUUGAUAGCAGAUAGUACGAAAGGAAAUUUGUUGAAGUUUUAAACUUUUUGAAGGUGGUAAAGACCUUUU